GAUCCUGGCUCAGAAUGAACGUUGGCGGCGUGGAUUAGGCAUGCAAGUCGAGCGAGAAGUCCUUCGGGACGGACAGCGGCGAAAGGGAGAGGAAUACGUAGAAAUCUACCCCUGAGACCGGGAUAGCGUCGGGAAACUGGCAGUAAUACCGGAUAACGUCUUAGGACCAAAGGUGUGAUUCCACUUGGGGAUGAGUCUACGCCCUAUUAGCUAGUUGGUGGGGUAAUGGCCUACCAAGGCGAUGAUGGGUAGCGGGGUGUGAGAGCAUGAUCCGCCUCACUGGGACUGAGAACUGCCCAGACACCUACGGGGUGGCUGCAGUCGAGAAUCUUUGUCAAUGGACGAAAGUCUGAACAAGCGACGCCGCGUGCGGGGAUGAAGGCCUUCGGGUUGUAAACCGCUGUCGUAGGGGAACAAAUGUACGGGGG
Molecule: ribosomal RNA, 428 nt
Filed under: uncultured bacterium
Lineage: Bacteria
Description: bacterial SSU rRNA
Rfam family: Bacterial small subunit ribosomal RNA
Source: RNAcentral